RNAcentral lists this transfer RNA (77 nucleotides) under Nitrospinota bacterium. RNAcentral describes it as "tRNA-Arg". It matches the Rfam family "tRNA". From Rfam's summary of the family: Transfer RNA (tRNA) molecules are approximately 80 nucleotides in length. Their secondary structure includes four short double-helical elements and three loops (D, anti-codon, and T loops). Further hydrogen bonds mediate the characteristic L-shaped molecular structure. tRNAs have two regions of fundamental functional importance: the anti-codon, which is responsible for specific mRNA codon recognition, and the 3' end, to which the tRNAs corresponding amino acid is attached (by aminoacyl-tRNA synthetases). tRNAs cope with the degeneracy of the genetic code in two manners: having more than one tRNA (with a specific anti-codon) for a particular amino acid; and 'wobble' base-pairing, i.e. permitting non-standard base-pairing at the 3rd anti-codon position. Lineage: Bacteria; Pseudomonadati; Nitrospinota. The record is from RNAcentral.
GCGCCCGUAGUUCAGCUGGAUAGAACGUCAGAUUGCGGUUCUGAAAGUCGGGGGUUCGAAUCCCUUCGGGCGCACCA